This 1107-nucleotide long non-coding RNA is filed under the name Canis lupus dingo (dingo). RNAcentral describes it as "lncRNA (ENSCAFG00020019908.1)". The stretch from base 599 to 688 matches the Rfam family "mir-8799 microRNA precursor family". Lineage: Eukaryota; Metazoa; Chordata; Mammalia; Carnivora; Canidae. The record is from RNAcentral.
GGUUUUCCUUCUAGUCAUUUUGCUCAGUGCAGAGUGGCCAAAAGCAAGUUGUAUUGGGAAAAGGAGAAAAAGAGAGGAGAGAAAGAAGGAAAGAAAAGAGAAAGAGGGGGAAAAAAAGGAAGAAAAAAACGAAAAAAAGAAGAAAAAGAGAAAGAAAAAGAAAGAAAGAAGAAAAGGGGGUGGGGGAAGGAAACAAAUCAAAAAGCAAAACAAAAACAAAACAAAACAAAAAGAACCACGGGGGAGUAUCUUCUGGUUCUGUAUACUUUAAGUCCCUUGACUUCCCCUGGAACUUGUCCGUCUAGCUGGUCUUCUGGGGGAGGGGCCUGCUGUGCUGAUUUUCAGGUGUUAGCACUUGGGGGAGCUGCUGUGCCCCUGCCUGGUGCAGGGCUCAGUGGGGGAUGUUUACCCCGUGAGGCCCCAGGAGGAACAACCGCAGUGGCGGGGCCAGCUCUGGAGCCCUGGGUUCAGCCCCCACAGCAACUCCAGAGCUCUCCAUCUGCAGGGCCUGGAGGCUCCGGGGCGGGGCCGCUGAUCUGCUCAGCUCGGGGCAGGAGCGUCCUCGCUGUCCUGGGCCCUCCCGGCCUCUGCCUGUCCCGGGGGGAGGCCGGAUCCUGGUCUGUGUCCCGGCGCCCUGUGCUCCCGGGGCCUGCGCUGUUGGAUUCGCGCUCCCGCCCCGCAGCCCCCUCCGCGGAGCCUCUUCCUCCGCCCGAGCCCCUCCGAGCUGCUCCGGGUCCCGCCGUGCGCGCUGCAGCCCUUAGGGAGCUCGGCGCACUCUCCCGGGGCGCAGGUGUCUGUUACUGUCCCCGGGAGCCCGAGGGCAUCCCCGCCCUCCUGGGUCCUGCUCCAACUCCCCGCGAGCCCCUUUCCGCCCGGGAAGGUCGGUGCAGCUCCUGCUCCUCCGGGACGGGGCUCUCCUGUCCUGGGGACACUCGCCCCGGCCUCAGCCCGGCUCCUCGCGGGGCCCCUCCCCCUCGGAGGCCUUUUGUUUCUUUAUUUCUUUUUUCCCGUCUUCCUACCUUGAUAGAAGCGCGAACUCUUCUCACUGUAGCAUUCCAGGUGUUCUCUCUUUCAUUCUCAGGCCGAAUUCAUAGAUUUUCAGGAUAA